This is a long non-coding RNA of Canis lupus familiaris (dog), 5964 nucleotides long. RefSeq lists it as uncharacterized. The record is from RefSeq and is a predicted model, not a curated record. The transcript is spliced from 3 exons. NCBI's taxonomy places the organism in Eukaryota, Metazoa, Chordata, Mammalia, Carnivora, Canidae.
UUGGCAUGGUCGUUGGGGGAUGGGCUACAGACCAAGAGCCAGCCAGAUGCAGGCAGUGUGGACAGAGGUUUCCAAAGGGAAGUGAACCACAAAGAUCCUCUCAUUCUUGCACUAUCAACCCUCUACCCUGCAGGAACAGAAAUCUAAACACUUGGGAGUGGGAUGACUUAAAAGUUUCUGCAAGUUAAGCAGUUCACUUGGAAAUAAAUUGGUGAGUUUAUAGAGGAAGUAGAACAAUGUGUAUUCUGGAAAAAGAGAAAGACAGACAUCUUUCCACUUUGGUUACAUCUCAAUUCUCUUCGGUGAGAGGGAAACAGACUGCUUAAUUACCCACCACACAGGGCUGAUUAUAAAGCCCCUUGAGUCUCAGGAUGCUGGAACCCAGUUAAUGCUGAGAAAAAACCUGCUGGGCUUGAUGGAAGGCUAGAACCCAACUGAAAUUUGGCACCGUGGAUCCUGUUGUCCAUUGGGAAUUGUGUCGGCAGAACAAAAGCCAUUUACACAAAUGGGGAGGGAGUGCUGAGGAAACAGACUCAAGACAAACAAAAUGACUCUCUCCAUGAGUAUGACCUCUCAGAAGGGGUCUGACACAACACGGCCAAUAAUAAGACAAACGCAAAUUAAAACCACACCAAGGUAACUUUUUUCACUCAUUGUAUUGUCCUGAAUCCAAAAGUUUAACAACACACUGCUGGUGGGACUGGGAGGAGACAGACAUCCUCACAGCCCGCUGGUGGCAGCUCAGUGUAAUCCCUACGGAUGGCAACUUGGCAGUAUAUCAACAUACUGUGCACACAGCCCAUGAACCACUCACCCCUGCUUCUCAGAAUCUGCCUGUGGCAACACUUGCACAAAUGUAAAAUUAAGUCCACACGAGAUUCAUCACUGCAGCAUUGUUUAUGACAGCCACAAUACUGGAAAUGACCAUCAAUAGGUCAUUGUACUGAUAAAAUACACCCACCUAAGGGAAUGUGGGAAGAGAGAGUUUCCUCCUCUUUUAUUUCUGGAUAUAUAAAGUGUGAAAAAGUAAAUGAAAAGGCAAAGUACAGAACACUGUGUGUGUCUACAGCAAAAAAAAAAAAAAAAGCGUAUUUUUAUAAAUGCUUAAGGAAACUCUAUAAAAAACAUUAAUACCAUGAGUUGCUGGGGGUGAGGGGACUGGCAAGAUGGGGUGGGAUGCAAGUAAAAUUUUCUACUCACAUCUUUUUUGAUUUUGGAAUCAUAUGAAUGUCCUACCCAUAAGCAUCAUUUCAAAGGCAGACACCAGGAAACAAAACAAAACAAACAAGAGCAUACCUGGGCAACCCCUUCUUCCCAGCCUCGGAUCACCUCCUGCUUGCCUAGCAUAAACUUAAAGGGCUUGUUUCUGUCCCGGGAGGAAUCAAAUUUCUUUCCAUCUUCAAGCAUCCCUGUGAAAAAGGGCAGUUGUAACAUGAGCAACAAGGAGUGAUGACAUGAGGCGUGUAAGAAGCCAGCCGAGGAGUGCCCGUCCCGGAUGCCGGGCAUCAGGCCUGGCAGGGCUGCCCGAGGCCUGAGGAGGAGUGUGGUGUCCCGGGAGGAUUUCCUGGGUCUUCAGCGGGCCUCUAGAGUUGGGACAGUCCGUCUACCCCAGGGCUAUGUGUGUUCUUCCCAACUCCAAGCAGUGAGCUGACCACCAGAGGCAGGCAGCUGUCUACCUUGGGCUGAGAAUGGGUAAGUGUCCAUGCUCUAGACAUGAACUGUCAGCACACUCUGAGAUGAAGAAUAAUCAUGGGCCUGUUAAGGCACAUGUAAUGGCUGGCAGUCACAUAUGGUUCAGAAGCAACUGGCCUUCCUCAGUUCACCCAUCCCCUUUUACAGAAAUGCAGGUAGUAUCAGAACUAAACUGAACUGCAGGACGCCAGCUGGUGUCAGGGAAUCGGAGAAAUGGCAACAGAAAAGACACUGCAAACCUCUCCCUGGUGGCCUCUGGACAACUCCAGCUGAACUGAGAGCAGUGCGUCCAGUUGGGAGUCAGGGACUUUCCACACAUGAAUUUACUCAAUCCUCCCCCAGCACUGUCCCCAUUUCACAGAGGAAGGAAGUGAGAGAAGCAGAAGGAAGUGAAGCAACCUGCCAAAGUAGUCAGCUAGACUAUAAAUCCAAAAACCAUGUUCAUUCAACUACUCCAGUGCCCCAGGAGCCAGACAAACCACACUGGCAGCCUCUACCAAAAGGGGGACUUCUAGACAUGGAGAUGCCAGAGGGUGAGUGCACAAGACAGACACCUACCACUCCUCGUUCAAACAGGAUCAUCUGCAGUGGUUUCUCUGAAAGUCAGAGACAGCCGUCACUGAGGUCCUGAACUUUCAAAGCACCAUCCCAGACUGGAAGAGCCAAAUCUGAACAUGCCUCAACCCGAGCAAGAUUGUAUUCUGACUGCAAUGAAAGACCAAAGGGUCCUGAGGCAGACUCCCUACACUUCCCUCUUAUACCUGAUCAAAUGUGUUGCCAAGCUACCUCCAGAUGCUACACACACCCAUCCUACUUUACCUGAAGAUGAGCUGUUUCCCCUGAGAAGAAGACAUGAGCCUUGCUCCAGAACUUCAGACCAUUGUCACCAACUGUCCAUCUCACUUCCUUGCAGGAGAAAAUCUUAGGGAAGGAUGGGUGGUGGUGUUGCUAGUGGUGGGGUUCCUUAGGCCUGAGGAGGAGUUGUCUUAUAAUCUAAGCUGGAAAAGUAAACAACAUCCCCAGAGCUGAGCAAAAUCUCACACAACUGGCACGGGCUAUAGGAGUAAGAAUGGGCUAGAAGGAGGGCUUCCCCAGUGGUGAGGAAAAGACCACUUAUAUAUGGCUAUAAGUUGCAGGCCAGGGAAACAGGUGACACAGGGGAGGAUGCAGUGUUCAUUAAGAAGCAGAACUUAACAUGUGUAUGGUGUUUUCUGGAGUGGGAAUCGGGCUGGUCAGUGCUGAAUGCAGAACACGACAGAAGCUGUGACAUCAAAAUAGCUUUAGCCAACAUGGAGGAAUAGGGAUCAGAUUUACUCUGUGUGACCAAAUACAAAACAAAACAACAAUAAAGAAACCACAAAAACACAAAACAAAAACCUCCACCAUAAAAAGAGAGCGAGAGAGAAACAACCCUGACAAUAGCUAAAACGUUUUUAAGACACUGGACACAGCAAUGAAGGAGAGUGAUCCCUGAGGGGAAACUAAAAUGGCAAGCUCUAUGUCUGCCCAGCUUACACCCUUGGGCGUUUCCAGGGAGAGGGACCUGGAUGGAGCUCAAGGCAGCUCAGAGUCCAAAGGACACAAACCAGGAAGGAGAGAAGUGUAGAGUGAAAAAAUCCUCAGAGAUUUGCAGAGGGUCCCUCUUGAGUAUUCAGCAGAACACUGAUCAGCACGAGUUUGAGGAAACUACUUAAGGCCAGGAAAAGAACCAUCCAAAAGGUUUAGAAGGAAUAGUGCCCAGUGCUUACACAGAGUUUGGAAUAGUGACUGUCCCACUAGCCAGACUGGAGAAAAUCCUGGUUUAUGAGGCACUGAGUAGGACACCUCAAAGAUCUCAUCUCAGUAGCUGGGAAUCAUCAGCUCCAAACUGAGCACUGCUCCGGACCUACCUGACAAAUCAUAAAAGAGAUACCUAAAAGGACAAAAUGGUUUCCAAGUAACUUAAGUGCUUCCCAGUACAAAGCCCAAGAAGAUUUACAGGAAUAAAAAUAUCUAGCACCCCAAAAAGUAAAAUUCAUAAUGUCCAGCACCCAAAAUUACCAAGCAUGCAAACAAGAGGGAAAACACGACCCGCCAUGAGAAGACUAAUCAAUCAAUUGAAACCACUCCAAAACUGACAGAGAUGUUAGAAUUAGUAGAGGACAGAAAGAGUCAAACCAAACUUCUAGAUAUGAAAACUAUAUUGGGCUGGAACAACUGGAUGCCCACAGGUAAAAAGUAAAACCUUGAACCUAUACUUCACAUCAUGAUCAAACAUCAACCCAAAAUGGGUAAUUGACCUAAAUGUAAACAUAAACCCAUAAAACUUCUAGAAGACAACAUAGGGAAAUAAUCUUUAUGACUGUGAGACAAAGAUUUCUUAGAUAGGAGGCCAAAAAAGCACAAAAGAAUAAACUGAACUUCAUCAAAACUAAAAAUUUCUGCACUCUGAAAGGCACUUUUAAGUGAAUGAAAACUCAAGGCAGAUUAGGAGAAAAAUCUUCACAAAUCAUAGAUCCAAAAAAGAACUUGUGUCCAGAAUAUAUAAAGAACUCUUAAAUUUCAGCGGUAAGAAAACAAACAGCUCAAUUUAAAAAGGGCAAAGAUUUGAAUUGAUACUUUACUGAAAAAAAUAUACAGGUGGCAAGUAGGCACAUGAAAAGAUGCUCAAUAUGAUUAGUCACCAUAAAAAUGCAAAUUAAAACGGCUGGGAGAUAGGACUACUACUGAUUAGAAUGAGUACAAUUAAAAAGACUGAUCAUAUGCAGUGGUAAGGAUGUGGAGGAACUGGAAUUCUUACACACUGCACAUGGGAAUAUGAAAUGAAACGACCACUUUGGAAAACAGGUUGGCCAUCUAAGUUAAACAUACACCUCCCAUAUGACGGGGCCAUUCCAUUUAUCCUGGAUAAAUGACAGCCAUACAAAAAGACUUAUAUACAAAUGUCCAUAGCAAACUCACUUGGAAUAGCCAAAAACUGGAACAAUCCAAACCUCUGCCAACUGGUGAGUGGAUAAACAAGCACAUCCAUAUAAAAGGAAACUAUUCAGCAAUAAAAAAGAAUGAACUAUCGAUAACACGGAACAAAAAAAAUCUCAAAAUAAUUAUGCUGAAGCAAACGAAGCCAGACAUGGGUCUAUACACUGUACAAUUCCAUGUAUAUUAAAUUUUAGAAAAUACAAAUUCUGAUAGAAAAGCAUGCCACAGAUUGCUAGGGAUGGAAAGAGGAGGUUUUGAAGAAUAACAAAGAGACAUAUCAAAACUUAUGAAAUCAUACACAUUAAACACGAGCACAUACACAUUAAACACGAGCAGUCUACUGGAUGUCAAUUAUACCUCCACAAAACUGUUUUUUUUUUUUUUUAAGUGAAAAAAUUAAGAUUCACUAAAAUCCUACACAUGUUUACCUCCUAUAUCCAACCUGGCAGUGAGUAGCGAGGUACUUCCUCUGUAAAGGGAGGGAGCAAGUAAAGCAGGUGGCUGGUAAAGUCUCAGCCACUGCUCCCAUUUUUACUCUGGAUAUCUGUGUGCCAGGAUCUGGAGCCCUUGACCAAUGAAAGCACCUGCCAAGCUAGUGCCAUAAUUUCCUAGAGAAAGCAUGCUCUGAUGAGAGAAGGCAACUGAGGUUACAGUCAGAUAUGACAGCUGACACUCUAAGCUCCAGAGGCCACUAUUAGCAAAACCCAUCACCAGCAUGGGCCUCUCUUUGCAUUUCUGACUACAUACAAACCUAUGCCUCAUGACCCACAGGCUGCCCAGGACAGCUCUGCAUUCUCCAUUUCAAGAAUUAUUGUCUCUUUCAAAAAAAAAAAAAAAAAAAAGAAUUAUUGUCUCUCCUGAUUGAAGGCAGCUUGAGGUCACAAACCUGGCCUUCAGUCCUACGUCUCUGCUGCAGUAGGCUCAACCCCUGGUACCCUCCAGACCAGCAGCACCUUUAAGAGUGGUUUCGCCUGCACAAUCUUUAAGAACCAGCAGGACAAGCAUAAGGAAUCUUAUUUAGAAUCUCUUUCCUGUAUGGGAGGAAGACUCUGAGGGGUAAUCCCAGAAUGACAGCUUUUACUUUCAGCACCUUUAAAUUACUAAUCAGGGAGGGAAAAAAAUGCAAACAUUUGAGAGUCUCUGGUUAAAAGCACAAAGACCAUGAAAAGAGCAAACGCUAUGGUUGCAUGAGAGACCAGUAAAGCAGCCUUUGGCUGUUGAAAGCGUUGAUGUCACCUUCAUCUGAGUUUCCUCCCAAACAAUUCAGCUGUUCUUGGGGGGAAGAACCAGACUCAAAUCCUUAGAGAAGGAGCA